AGAGUUUGAUCCUGGCUCAGGAUGAACGCUGGCGGCGCGCCUAACACAUGCAAGUCGAGCGAUUACUUCGGUAAAGAGCGGCGGACGGGUGAGUAACGCGUGGGUAACCUGCCUCAUACACAUGGAUAACAUACCGAAAGGUAUGCUAAUACAAGAUAAUAUAAGAGAUUCGCAUGGAUUUCUUAUCAAAGCUCCGGCGGUAUGAGAUGGACCCGCGUCUGAUUAGCUAGUUGGUAAGGUAACGGCUUACCAAGGCGACGAUCAGUAGCCGACCUGAGAGGGUGAUCGGCCACAUUGGAACUGAGACACGGUCCAAACUCCUACGGGAGGCAGCAGUGGGGAAUAUUGCACAAUGGGCGAAAGCCUGAUGCAGCAACGCCGCGUGAGCGAUGAAGGCCUUCGGGUCGUAAAGCUCUGUCCUCAAGGAAGAUAAUGACGGUACUUGAGGAGGAAGCCCCGGCUAACUACGUGCCAGCAGCCGCGGUAAUACGUAGGGGGCUAGCGUUAUCCGGAUUUACUGGGCGUAAAGGGUGCGUAGGUGGUUUCUUAAGUCAGGAGUGAAAGGCUACGGCUCAACCGUAGUAAGCUCUUGAAACUGGGAAACUUGAGUGCAGGAGAGGAAAGUGGAAUUCCUAGUGUAGCGGUGAAAUGCGUAGAUAUUAGGAGGAACACCAGUAGCGAAGGCGGCUUUCUGGACUGUAACUGACACUGAGGCACGAAAGCGUGGGGAGCAAACAGGAUUAGAUACCCUGGUAGUCCACGCCGUAAACGAUGAGUACUAGGUGUCGGGGGUUACCCCCCUCGGUGCCGCAGCUAACGCAUUAAGUACUCCGCCUGGGGAGUACGCUCGCAAGAGUGAAACUCAAAGGAAUUGACGG
Molecule: ribosomal RNA, 878 nt
Filed under: uncultured bacterium
Lineage: Bacteria
Description: bacterial SSU rRNA
Rfam family: Bacterial small subunit ribosomal RNA
Source: RNAcentral